Acanthaster planci (crown-of-thorns starfish) is the source of this 396-nucleotide long non-coding RNA. RefSeq lists it as uncharacterized. The record is from RefSeq and is a predicted model, not a curated record. NCBI's taxonomy places the organism in Eukaryota, Metazoa, Echinodermata, Asteroidea, Valvatida, Acanthasteridae.
GUCGCUUUAAAUUAAAGUUUAAUCCGUUUAAUAAUUUAUUUUCGCGACUCCGUGUAUCAUCAAGAAAUUAGUCUUCGAAGAAUUGCUGAUGCACCUACGUGAUGACAUUGAUGGAUUCUUCUCAAGAAGCGGGCUCAAGACUCAAGUUCCAGUGAGGGUCCAAGUGAUAGCCACUCUGACAGUGAUGAGGAGCAAGAACAGUGGAUGGAGAAAACAGCAGGCUUGUUGCCAGGUGAAUGCACAUGUACAUGUACUGCCAUGGCUGCCUACACGAAUGUUGAGGCUGGCUAGCGUCAUGGAGCGAGUCGACUGACCGAUGAUAUCUCCAAAGUGAAGAUGCAGGUUACGUCAUACCGACCUCCUCAUGUGAAAACUGUGGGUAUGCCCCAGGAGAAG